CUUCGAAAGUCUUUUGAGUUGAUAGAGUAUGUUCGUGGAGUUGCUAGAUCAUACAUUGUGUUUACGCAUGGUCUUGUGAAUCGUUUUUCCGUUGUGUUUGUGAGGGAUUGUUUGGAUUGUGCAAUUUUGUAUUCGAUUGUUUCACUGAGCAAUUGGUGAAAUCAUGGUGCAUGAGAGAUUAGGUGGUGAAUGCACUGAGUUCAUGCCUAGGGAGUGAGUUGUUGUCUUGCUUCAAUUGUCCAUCGUUGGUGAGGUUUUGGAAAGAUAUAGUGGCAUGGUAAGAUAUAGUCUUAUUGUAUAAGUCAUUUGUAUCUUAAAUUCAAAUAGUGGAUCGUUUUCCAUGAGCGAGGCUCCCCC
RNAcentral lists this long non-coding RNA (357 nucleotides) under Salvia miltiorrhiza (redroot sage). RNAcentral describes it as "long non-coding RNA (SMIL_LNC013681)". Lineage: Eukaryota; Viridiplantae; Streptophyta; Magnoliopsida; Lamiales; Lamiaceae. The record is from RNAcentral.